RNAcentral lists this ribosomal RNA (2924 nucleotides) under Escherichia coli. RNAcentral's name for it is "bacterial LSU rRNA". It matches the Rfam family "Bacterial large subunit ribosomal RNA". The record is from RNAcentral. Lineage: Bacteria; Pseudomonadati; Pseudomonadota; Gammaproteobacteria; Enterobacterales; Enterobacteriaceae.
GGGUUGUGAGGUUAAGCGACUAAGCGUACACGGUGGAUGCCCUGGCAGUCAGAGGCGAUGAAGGACGUGCUAAUCUGCGAUAAGCGUCGGUGAGGUGAUAUGAACCGUUAUAACCGGCGAUUUCCGAAUGGGGAAACCCAGUGUGUUUCGACACACUAUCAUUAACUGAAUCCAUAGGUUAAUGAGGCGAACCGGGGGAACUGAAACAUCUAAGUACCCCGAGGAAAAGAAAUCAACCGAGAUUCCCCCAGUAGCGGCGAGCGAACGGGGAGGAGCCCAGAGCCUGAAUCAGUGUGUGUGUUAGUGGAAGCGUCUGGAAAGGCGCGCGAUACAGGGUGACAGCCCCGUACACAAAAAUGCACAUAUUGUGAGCUCGAUGAGUAGGGCGGGACACGUGGUAUCCUGUCUGAAUAUGGGGGGACCAUCCUCCAAGGCUAAAUACUCCUGACUGACCGAUAGUGAACCAGUACCGUGAGGGAAAGGCGAAAAGAACCCCGGCGAGGGGAGUGAAAAAGAACCUGAAACCGUGUACGUACAAGCAGUGGGAGCCUCUUUAUGGGGUGACUGCGUACCUUUUGUAUAAUGGGUCAGCGACUUAUAUUCUGUAGCAAGGUUAACCGAAUAGGGGAGCCGAAGGGAAACCGAGUCUUAACUGGGCGUUAAGUUGCAGGGUAUAGACCCGAAACCCGGUGAUCUAGCCAUGGGCAGGUUGAAGGUUGGGUAACACUAACUGGAGGACCGAACCGACUAAUGUUGAAAAAUUAGCGGAUGACUUGUGGCUGGGGGUGAAAGGCCAAUCAAACCGGGAGAUAGCUGGUUCUCCCCGAAAGCUAUUUAGGUAGCGCCUCGUGAAUUCAUCUCCGGGGGUAGAGCACUGUUUCGGCAAGGGGGUCAUCCCGACUUACCAACCCGAUGCAAACUGCGAAUACCGGAGAAUGUUAUCACGGGAGACACACGGCGGGUGCUAACGUCCGUCGUGAAGAGGGAAACAACCCAGACCGCCAGCUAAGGUCCCAAAGUCAUGGUUAAGUGGGAAACGAUGUGGGAAGGCCCAGACAGCCAGGAUGUUGGCUUAGAAGCAGCCAUCAUUUAAAGAAAGCGUAAUAGCUCACUGGUCGAGUCGGCCUGCGCGGAAGAUGUAACGGGGCUAAACCAUGCACCGAAGCUGCGGCAGCGACACUAUGUGUUGUUGGGUAGGGGAGCGUUCUGUAAGCCUGUGAAGGUGGCCUGUGAGGGUUGCUGGAGGUAUCAGAAGUGCGAAUGCUGACAUAAGUAACGAUAAAGCGGGUGAAAAGCCCGCUCGCCGGAAGACCAAGGGUUCCUGUCCAACGUUAAUCGGGGCAGGGUGAGUCGACCCCUAAGGCGAGGCCGAAAGGCGUAGUCGAUGGGAAACAGGUUAAUAUUCCUGUACUUGGUGUUACUGCGAAGGGGGACGGAGAAGGCUAUGUUGGCCGGGCGACGGUUGUCCCGGUUUAAGCGUGUAGGCUGGUUUUCCAGGCAAAUCCGGAAAACCAAGGCUGAGGCGUGAUGACGAGGCACUACGGUGCUGAAGCGACAAAUGCCCUGCUUCCAGGAAAAGCCUCUAAGCAUCAGGUAACAUCAAAUCGUACCCCAAACCGACACAGGUGGUCAGGUAGAGAAUACCAAGGCGCUUGAGAGAACUCGGGUGAAGGAACUAGGCAAAAUGGUGCCGUAACUUCGGGAGAAGGCACGCUGAUAUGUAGGUGAAGCGACUUGCUCGUGGAGCUGAAAUCAGUCGAAGAUACCAGCUGGCUGCAACUGUUUAUUAAAAACACAGCACUGUGCAAACACGAAAGUGGACGUAUACGGUGUGACGCCUGCCCGGUGCCGGAAGGUUAAUUGAUGGGGUUAGCGGUAACGCGAAGCUCUUGAUCGAAGCCCCGGUAAACGGCGGCCGUAACUAUAACGGUCCUAAGGUAGCGAAAUUCCUUGUCGGGUAAGUUCCGACCUGCACGAAUGGCGUAAUGAUGGCCAGGCUGUCUCCACCCGAGACUCAGUGAAAUUGAACUCGCUGUGAAGAUGCAGUGUACCCGCGGCAAGACGGAAAGACCCCGUGAACCUUUACUAUAGCUUGACACUGAACAUUGAGCCUUGAUGUGUAGGAUAGGUGGGAGGCUUUGAAGUGUGGACGCCAGUCUGCAUGGAGCCGACCUUGAAAUACCACCCUUUAAUGUUUGAUGUUCUAACGUUGGCCCGUAAUCCGGGUUGCGGACAGUGUCUGGUGGGUAGUUUGACUGGGGCGGUCUCCUCCUAAAGAGUAACGGAGGAGCACGAAGGUUGGCUAAUCCUGGUCGGACAUCAGGAGGUUAGUGCAAUGGCAUAAGCCAGCUUGACUGCGAGCGUGACGGCGCGAGCAGGUGCGAAAGCAGGUCAUAGUGAUCCGGUGGUUCUGAAUGGAAGGGCCAUCGCUCAACGGAUAAAAGGUACUCCGGGGAUAACAGGCUGAUACCGCCCAAGAGUUCAUAUCGACGGCGGUGUUUGGCACCUCGAUGUCGGCUCAUCACAUCCUGGGGCUGAAGUAGGUCCCAAGGGUAUGGCUGUUCGCCAUUUAAAGUGGUACGCGAGCUGGGUUUAGAACGUCGUGAGACAGUUCGGUCCCUAUCUGCCGUGGGCGCUGGAGAACUGAGGGGGGCUGCUCCUAGUACGAGAGGACCGGAGUGGACGCAUCACUGGUGUUCGGGUUGUCAUGCCAAUGGCACUGCCCGGUAGCUAAAUGCGGAAGAGAUAAGUGCUGAAAGCAUCUAAGCACGAAACUUGCCCCGAGAUGAGUUCUCCCUGACUCCUUGAGAGUCCUGAAGGAACGUUGAAGACGACGACGUUGAUAGGCCGGGUGUGUAAGCGCAGCGAUGCGUUGAGCUAACCGGUACUAAUGAACCGUGAGGCUUAACCUUACAACGCCGAAG